UAUUACAAAGUAUUUUCAAUAGAUUUGAAAUUGUAUUAUAUCAAUAAAUUGUAAAUUAAAAAAAAGUUGACACGCAUCCCAACCUUACAUUUUUCAUUUGUUGAUUUGUUAAAUGUUGCUGAAUUUCAUUGUAGUAUAUGCCCUCUUUUUCACAAAAAACAGAAUGACAGAAAGAUUUAAUUUAUGACGGCAAAUGCUUAAGGGUUGAGGAACAAAGCACCAAUCAGAUAUCAAUCCCAUGAAAGAGUAUCUUUGUCGGCAAUUGCACUCUAAAGAAUUUGCAACUACACUCAAAGCUUAAUUAUCAUCAUUGUUACAUUUGUAAUUUACGAGGAAAUUAAACAUUUUUUUUAAGAAGAUGUCUUCAUUAUCUCCUUAAAUGAAUGCAAUGCAACAUCAAAUAUACAAAUGGCAUGACAUCGCAACCAUAAUCUUUUAAAUUUGAUUCGUUAAUCGAUAUUUUGGUGAGUCAAUAGCUAGAGACAAAGUUAAAGAAAGAUAUAAAUGGGAAUAGACAGAUUAAUGAUGGUCCCUUACUCUUGUGGUCUCUGCAUCGCAUACGCGGCUGGAUCUUAAUUUCGCAAUAGGAAACAUAGUGACAUUCACACCACACUCAGCACCACGUUUAGUACAAUGAGGGCCUUUCUGCUAUAUUUACUAAAACUUCCUGAGAAAAAGUAAAAAGAUUUAAAUGUCUCCUAUUCACCCCUAAACUACUUGAAUUUAGAUUCCAAUAAUUGGGAAUCGUUUUUAAGGUAUUCUCGUGUUAUUACUAAUUUAGAUCUAUUGAGCUGCGAACAAUGAAAAGUAAAGGGUAAAAGCUCAUUUAGUCUCUAUAUUUUAAAAAUAGUAUUUAUUUAGUCCCUAUAUUUUUAAAAAUAUAUCGAAACAUCCCUGUCGUUAAAGUAUUGAUAUCUCUACCGUUACUUUUUAUUUCUUUUGGCUUACUUUUACAAUAUUACCCUUUUAUAAUAAUUUUUUUGUUUGGACAUUAAUAAAAAUAAAAUAAUUAAAUUAUCAAUUUAACCCAAAAAAAUUAUAUUAAUUUUUAAUUGUCAAAAAUUAAAUUGUUAUUUUUAUUUCUUUUGACUUGCUUUUACAAUAUUACCCUUUUAUAAUAAUUUUUUUGUUUGGACAUUAAUAAAAAGAAAAUAAUUAAAUUACCAAUUUAACCCUAAAAAAGGAAAAAAUAUAUAUUAAAUUUUAAUUGUCAAAAAUUAGAUUGUCAAAAAUUGUAUGCAAACUACCAAGUGUGCAAAUGGUGCUUACAAAAAAAUUAAUAUAAUUUUUUUAUUUUCUAGGGUGAAAUUGGUAAUUUAACUAUUUGCUUUUUAUUAAUGUCCAAAUAAAAAAAUUAUUAUAAAGGGUAAUAUUGUAAAAGUAAGCCAAAUGAAAUAAAAAGUAACGGUAGGGGUAUCAAUAUUUUAACGGAAGGGAUGUUUCGGGAUAUUUUUAAAAAUACAGGGACUAAACGGACACUAAUCUUAAAAUAUAGGGACUAAAUGAGCAUUUACCCAAAAGUAAAUAAUACCAAGGAUUUACUAUUUACAAUAUUGCUAAUUAUAACUUCUUCUAAAUUAAUCAUUCAGGAGUGUUGUUUUCUCUAUUUCCUAUAUUUUAUCCUUCGUUAAAUGCUACUUCUAUUCCUUUAUCUACUAUACUUCUUAAUUUAAAAUUAUGAUUUAUCUGACUUUUUAAUACAGCCAGUCUUCCUAAAUUAUCAGCUUGUUUAAUGUAUUCACUAAAUACGUUAGCAGAAUAAUUUUGUAAAGUAAAACAAGUAUAAUUAUCUAACAACAUGCAAGUUAGAUUAUUUAAAAAUCUUAUAAACAAUUGUUCUUCUCUACUGGAUACUCCCAUUCUUUUGCAAAUUUAUGUCAAACUGAUUGAAAAAUCAAGUGUUUUGUUGCAAAUACUAACCAAAUUCGUAUCCUUUUUAAGAAUAUUUCCAAAAAUUGUUUUCCAAAAGUUCAAAAUAUAAAAUCAGACAUUUUAAUUAAAUUAAGUUUUUUUAAUAAAAAAACUUCUUUCUCUUAGGGGUAUGGAAAUCCCAACACAAAACCUCCAUUCUUCCCUAAAACACCUAUCCUUAGGCUAAAACAAUACUUACGAGUAAAACUGGGCACUUAAAGAUCCUUCUUCAAGGCUUUUGGUUUUUCUAGAAACCUAAGUUUUGUUUAGACUCUAAUUUUAUUCUUCACAAAUAAAAAAACAUUUGUUAUCAGCAAAUAAAAAGAUACUUGAUUUAUAAUGAAAAAUCUGCAACAUAUAAAGUCGUUCAUUUAUAAACACAUAGAAGUUUACAAAAGACUGAGUUUCUCUAUUGAAAAAGAACUAAACAACUUAGAUACAGUAGAUUAUGCUGAAUAAAUUAACUUACUUGAAAUAUCUUCUAGUAAUUGAAUAAGAACUUAAGAGCUUUAUAGAUUGAAAUUUGUUACAAAAAUUUUUUAUAUUUUUUAUCUGAUUUCUUCUCUUU
Molecule: long non-coding RNA, 2479 nt
Filed under: Citrus maxima (pomelo)
Lineage: Eukaryota; Viridiplantae; Streptophyta; Magnoliopsida; Sapindales; Rutaceae
Description: long non-coding RNA (CMAX_LNC000524)
Source: RNAcentral